Molecule: long non-coding RNA, 8284 nt
Organism: Psammomys obesus (fat sand rat)
Lineage: Eukaryota; Metazoa; Chordata; Mammalia; Rodentia; Muridae
Exons: 4
Source: RefSeq, a predicted model, not a curated record
UAAUGAGGAACUAUAAAUUUACUUCUGAAAUGAGUAAUACCUUCCUUAAGGUAAGCAUACAUGUGUGGACCAAUGGAGUCAUGAAUUUGAAUUGCUCAAACAAUCUCUUUUUGCAAUAAAAAAAAAUCUUUCCCCCUUCCUUUUCCUCUCUCCAACCCCUCCAAUACCUUCUCUUCUCAAAUUAAUGGCUUCAUUUUCUUUAAUUUUCAAUGUGUCAUAUAUAAAAUAAAUAUGAGUCUAACCUGCUGAAUCUGUUUUGGUGUUGCCUGUAUGUAUGUGAUUUCAGAGCACCAAUGGGGGUGCUCAUCUUUGGGGAAAGCUAAUGCUUCCUCUCUCAUCAGUCACUUUUCAUCCAUAGCUCAUUUUCUAGAGGUGGAGCCCCAUUAAGUUUCCCUUUCCAUGUUGGUGUGUCUAAUGGUGAUGUAACUGUUCAGGUCUUUAGGCGGCCAUAUUGUUUGGGUAUCAUGGAUGAAACUUCACAGACUUCCUGUCUCUCUCUUCCAAUAUGUUUCCCAAGCUUAGGUGUGGGGGUUUGUGUAGUAAAUGUGUCAUUUGGGGCAGGGCAUCUCACCAUCAAUUAUUUUCUGCAUUUUGACCAAGUGUGCCUUUAUAUAAUGCUCUCCAUUUUCUGGGGGAGGGGGAGAAGGAGCUUCUUUGAUGUGGGGUGACAGGAGAAAUGCCUAUCCUUAUUUGUGAGAAUAAGAGUAAAUAUUUAGACUAGUUAGGAAUUAUAUUAGUCUAGUAACGUGGUAGGUGGUAGUAGUAGGUCCUCUGCUAAGAACCAUAGUCUCACUAGCCUGGAAUAAUACCUGAGAGACAUAGAAAAAUACACAGUUGUGAUACGAUGUUUGUCAACAAGCAAAAUUAAAAUUUAGCUCAAACAGACUUAGUUGGUUCUUAUGUAUGAUUCAUAAACCUGGGAAGCUUCUGUUGCAUGGUAGUUGGUAUUAUCAAAGCAGUGUUAAGGCUGAGUUACUGCUGUCCUCCCCAAUUUAUAUUUAUUUAUUUAUUUAGUCAUUUACAGCCUGAUCCCAGCCCCUUCACUCCUAUCCUCCCUCAAAUCCCUCUCCCCCAGUCCCUGUUUCUUCUUCUUCUCAUAGAAGGGGAGGCUCCCAAGGGGUACCAACCCACCCUGGCACUCCAAGUCCCAUAGGACUCAGUGCACCCUCUCCUACUUAGGCCAGACAAGGCAGCCCAUUUUGUGGAAAGAAAUCCAAAGGCAGGAAACAGAGUCAUAAACAGCCCAUACUCCUAUUUUUAGGGAACCCAUAUGUUGACCAAGUAGCACAUCUACACAUGUGCAAGGAGUCUAGGUCCAGCCUAUGCAUGUCCUUUGGUUGGUGGUUCAGACUCCAUGAGCCCCCAUGGGCCCAGGUUGGUUUACUCUGUAGGUCUUCUUGUGGUGUUCUUGACCCCUGCGGCUCCCUCAAUCUUUCCUCCUAUUUUUUUUCCACAAGACUCUCAGAGAUCAGCCUAUUGUUUGGCAGUGGUUGGUGGUUUCCAUCAACUGCUGGAAGAAGACUCUCAGAAGACAGUUAUGCUAGGCUCCUGUAUGCAAGCAUGGCAGAGUGUCCUUAGUAGAGUCAGUGGUUGGCUUUCUCCCAUGGGGUGGGUCUUAAGUUGGGCCAGUCAUUGAUUUGGCAUUCCCCCAAUCUCUGCUCCAUUUGUAUUCCUACACUUCUUGUAGGCAAGGCAAAUUUGGGGUUGAAGGUUUUAUAGAUGGAUUGGUGUCCCCCCUCCUUCCACUCUAAGCCCCACCUGGCUAUAGAAGGUGGCCAUUUCAGACUCCAUAUAGGAGUCUCAGCUAGGGUUGCCCCCACAGACUCCUAGGAACCUCCCCUUUCCCAAAGCUGCUUUCCCCUACUGAUUUCCAUCCUCUUUCCUGGCCCCCCACUUGUACCCCAGCUCUGCGCACACCUGAUCUCCACCCCCUCUCCCACCCAGUUCCCUGCCUCCAUCUACUUCAGAUGUCUAUUUUAUUUCCCCUCUGAGUGAGAUUCAAGCAUCUUCCCUUGGGUCCUCCUUGGCUUCUUUGGGUCUGUGGAUUGUAGCACUGGUUAUCUUGUACUCUGUGGCUAAUAUCCAAUUAUAAAUGAAUACAUACCAUGCGUGCCUUUCUGGGUUGCCUCACUGAAAGAAAUGAAUAAAACUGUUCAAGACCUGAAAACAGAAGUAAAAGCAGUAGGGAAAACACAAACUAAGGGAAUCCUGGAGAGAGAAAAGCUAGGGAUAUAUCACUUUUCAGCAUAUACCCAAAGGAUACUCCAUCCUACCACAGAGACACUUGCUCAGCUAUUUUUAUAGCAGCUUUAGGCAUAAGAGCCAGAAACUGGAAACAAUCACAAUGUCCCUCAACAGAGGAAUGGUUAAACAACGUGUGGCACAUUUACACAGUGUAUUACUUGACUUUCAAAAAAAAUAACAUCAUGAAAUUUGCAGGCAAAUGGAUAGAACUAGAAAAAACAAUCAUCCUGAGUAAGGUAACACAGACCCAGAAAGACAAACUUGGUAUGUAUUUAUAAGUGGAUAUAAGCUAUAAAAUAAAGGAUAACCAUACUACAAUCCACAGACCCAGAGAAUCUAAGUAAACAGGGUCGGGAGAGGGGAAUAAAUUUUCCUGGGAAGGAGAACUAGAAUAGUUAUUGUAGGUGGACUAGGCAGAGGUAAGGAUGUGGGGGAAGAUGGAAGGAGAGAGUACUGGGAAAGACUAGUGGAGCUGGGGAAUAUUUCAGGGGCAGGUUAGAACCCUAGUGUAAUGGAAACUCCCAAGGAAUCUAAUAGGGUGACCCUAGCUAAGACUCCUAGUAAUGGAGGACACAGAGCCUGAACAAGUCAUCUCCUGUGACCAGACAAGUCUUCCAGUGGAGGAACUUGGACACAAACCAUGCCACAAAACCUUCGACCUAUAAUUUGUACUGACUACAAGGUGUGCUAUAAUAAAGGUAGUGCAGAAAUAGUGAGAGUAGCCAACCAAUGACUGUCCAUCUUGAUACUCAUGCCAUGAGAGGGAGGCCACCCCUUGACACUGCAUUGAGUGCCAGAAACCAGAGCCUGGAUAUCCCAGAGACCUAGGGUAGAGCCUACAAACAUAACAGGAAAAGAAAAAAGGAAAUGAUUCCUAGCAAUAUUCUGCUACACUACUUGUAGACGGGAGCCUAGAAUAAUCAUCACCAGAGAGGCUUCAUCCAGCAACUGAUGGGAACAGAUGCAGAGACCCAGAGCUUUCUCAGGCAGGGCUCUGGCCACUUCUGCCUUGAGAGGUUAUAAAGUUUACAAAGUAUACAAAAUAUACAGAGUCCACAGCAGGGAAGCCUUUCUCCGCAGCAUGAAUAGCUGAAAGAGCCUGGAGCAGAGGUGCUGCCAUUGUGGCAGCUCUAGUGAAGGCAGCAGGCUGAAGCAGGAAAGGUUAUCAUCAUGGACAGCUCCUGCGGAGCUCCUGAUUCCAGAGCCCCAGGGCAGGAAGGAGGGGCUGGCAGCUUUAGUGGCCAGCUGCUCAAGAGCUAAAGGUGUUGUGGCUGGAGAACCAGCAAGCCACCAUGGCUGCUAUGACUGGGGUGAACAGUGGGGCCCUCUGAUUCUUUGCUGUCAAGGCAGCAGGCCGCCUGGUUGCUGUGAUUGGUGCUGCCAUGACAGAGGGACUACACGAAGAGCCUACAAUAUCUCCAGUCAUGAUCACUGCCCUGCCGUAACAUGAAAACCCUUGAAAUGGACACUUAAGCUGACUUCCACGCAUUUCCCCAGUUCCUGUUUUAGGGCUGCUGCCCCAGGACAGCACAUGGACCUAGCCAUGUCUGACCAGUCUUCAUCAAUGAAAGGAAAGCUUUAUCCAAUGGCAGACACUCAUGUGACAGCCCCACUGCUCAGUGCUCAUUGCCAUGGUCACUCUAACACCCUACAGCCUUGUUGAUUCUCCUCUUGCCUGGGAGCUGCCACCCAGCAGGCCAUGAAGUCAGGAGGGGCAAGCGAGCCUGGAAUGGCAGGAGAGAACCAUACAGCAGCUGAUGGCUAGUUCAACUUUAAUUCCAGAGAACAAAGGUUAUAUGACCUUAGGGGAAUGGGGGAGGUUCCAAAAUUAGGUGUACAUAAUUGGUUAGAACUAGGCAGUGCAAGGAUGCUUGAUUUGCAUUAUACAGCAGUUUCCUAUCAUAGGAAUAGAGUCUCAGUACCUAAUUAACAUAUAGACACAGGGAGGGGAAAGUUAGUAGGGCACUUUGUCUAGUCCACACAUCAAGUGGGGAGUCUGUGUCUAAAGACACUCUCCAGAUGAAGUCAAGCAGAGAGCAGGGGACAGCGCCAAGGGGAGGGAGUUCUGUCUUGGUCCGGGCAAGAACUGCAACCUCAACCAGCAGGGUACCUCAAAUAGAGUGUGAGCCCAUUUCUCUGGUUGGUGAGUCUGGAACAGAGGGAUAGUAUGUGUACUUCACAAUGGGCAUUCUGUCAUGGAAUGAGGUGAGGGCUGACCUGUGACUUAACUGCCCACAGCAGGUCUGGUCAAGCUCAGUCACUGACUGCUAUUAGGAAAGUGAGGACUCUGCAGGGUUCUGGGAAGAUGGGAAGAAAGCAGCCAAGAAUUUUGGGAAGUCUUCGUAAUCCUCUUCCCCCUCAGACUUCUCCGCCUUCUCUGUGUCCAAAUGGCACUCACCUCUUCCCAUCUCAGUCAUUAUCCCCUCAGCCCUCUUCUCCUACCAACCCUCUCUCUGUUUUCUAUCCUACCUCUUUUCCUCCUCUGAAGAACACUUCCUACUUCCCCACCUUAAUGGUUGCUAUGCCCAGUUCCUCCUGUAUAGACAAACUCUGCUCUAAGUCCCCUUCUUUUUUAACUCCUAAUUCCUGUUGCUCUACCCUCAUGACCACCUCUGCUCAAGCAACAUCACUGGAUAGUUGCCUAGACUCUCUUUCCCACCAGGAAGCUAAAUACCUUCGGACAGCCUGGGUAAGUAAAAAACCUCAAACAAGAAACCUCAAACCCUCUUGCAGAGGGUUUACUUCAGAAAUGCUAUGAUUGUUUUCCUAGCCACCUAUUGUGGUGAACACAGGAAAAGCAGGCUGAUGGAGCCAACAGAUAGUCUGGAUCUCAUUAUCCCUGGGUUUCUAGCCUCUCCUCUCCUCCCCUCUCAUCUCCUCUGUUCUCCUCUCCUCACUGAAUCUGGCUGUACCUGAAAAGCAGCCUAGAGAUUUUAGAGAAAUGAGUGCCCUAAGAAGGUAUUCACAGUCACCAGAAAGCCUUUAUUUGUGGUUUCUGAAUGUACUUCAGCAUAUCUUUCAGGGACUGAGGAAGAAUUCUCCAGACAAGGACCCUGAAAUUGGUGGAAACAGAUGUGACCUCACACCCUUGGUAAGCGUGGCUUAGUGAGCACCAGGAAGCUCAGCAGCGCUGCAGGUGACAACUGGGCAGAACAGGAGCUAGCCUGGCCCGAGUCUGGACUUUGGGUUUGGUUUAGGAAUAGAGAAUAUUCUUAAGUUGUUUUAUGAUUCAGCUUUCUUACCAUGAAAUGGAGGUACUGUGAAGUAAAUCCUUUUUCACAGUGGCCAGGAAUGUAAGAAUAAGUGCUAGCAAUUGUGAGAGGACAUGAGUAAGUGCUUAGAAGAGUUUACAGGAGAGAAAAGGAAGACAGGCAAUGAGGGAGUAAGUAUUAAAUUAGGGCACUUGAUGCACACACACAAUACAUCACACACAGGUUACAGAGACAAGCUUUACUGUCACAUAAGUUAAUUAUGUAAAACUUUCAAUUAGAACGACAUUUUGCAGUUAUGCUAUGUUGUCUCAAGAGGAAUGUAAUGCUACAUGUAGUGUAUCAGGAUUAUAAAUCUAAGGCAACCUGAAAAAAGUUUACAAAGGAGGCAUAAUUGCUAGGGGAGAAAAAUGCUUCAUAUCAAACACUCGCAUAGAUCUGGGAAACAGCCUCUGUUGACAAGAGCUCUUCACAUCAUAGGAACAAAACGGUAAACAGUGUCAUAGAUGGCAGACAAGAAUCCAAAAAUUACAUGACAUAUUUAUAUUCAUCAGUCAAAUGACUGAAAUGGCCUCCUGGAACAAAAAAAAAAAUAAGACAUUUAUUGCUUAUCCAUGGGAAAACCUGUUUGAUUAGAGACACAUUUAUGUUUAAAAUAAAAGGCUGGUGCCUUCUGAGAAGCCUGUCCUCCUGGGUUGGUCCACAAAUUCCUCCUGCUUGACAAGAAGGAAGAAGCAUUUCUUCUAAAUUGCCACAUACCACAAGUGCUGUAAAUGGAGUGAGUGGCCCUUGCAAGAUGUGCUCACAUGGCACUGACUCUUUUCCUAGCCUGGUUCAGGAAAGCUCCCGAGGUCCCAGCAAGCUGCCUCUGUCCCAUGGCUUGCUCUUGCCAUCUGAAGGAAAGAUGCCUGUGUUGUCACAGAAGCGCACAUGAAUGGUACAGCUCUAUUCCUUUAUUUGCUACGUGCCAACUAGACGUAGGUGCCCGUUGCCUGGUUGCUCAGGCUGAGGCACUGGGCCAAGAGGGAGACACAAUGGUGCUUUACAGUGCCUGUCAGUCCCGACAGGAAGAGGUGACCUGGGAGGGGCUGCCUCAGCUGGGCCGGUACACACAAGGCCACUCUCUGCUUUUACUGCAGAGCCUUCUGAAAAGAUAAAAGGGCUUCUAGCAUUUUUCGUAUUAAAUUCAAUUUCCCACUUCCAUUCUUUCUCUCUGUACUUAUUCUACCUGCCUUUACCCCUGUCCUGUUCGGUCAGCUCGGGAGCCUGCAGCCUGCUCCUCAGCCUAUCCUGUCCUUUCUGUUUUCUGUCCUUCCCCCCCACCCCCACUCUGAUCCACACUUUCCCCAUUAUCCCACCAUACCUUCAUGCCUGGCUCUUCUCUUUUCCAGACUUUUCUCUGAGCACCCUGUUCAAAUUGUCCCCUUCACAACUGGACCCAACUUCUCCUAACAUUUCAGUUCAAGGUCCCCUAUUCUCUUAUCCCCAGCACAAAGCCAGCUGCCCUCCAUCAAAAUGAAAGAGUCACUCUUCCUCCAUGGGAAGGUUUACCUGCCACACCUGCAGUUCAGUGGUGCCAGAGCUGUGCUUUCCAAACAGACUGACCUGGUGUCCAUGGGGGGGAAGGUGACAUAGUUGGCAUGCUGCCUGGAGAAUCACCUUACCUAAUGAAUCCAUUUCCUCAGUGGCCUCUUCUCUCUAUCUGGACAUUCCUGAAAAACAUCCCAGAGAUAGGAGUGGAACUAGAGCCCUAAAGAUUUUACUGCCACCUGUCAGGAUAGUGGUCUAGCUCUUCCCUGAUAAACUGAGUGGUUUAGAACUGGCCAUGAAUCUCAUUCACUGUUUCCUCAGGUACCAGGGAAGAAGCAGCCAGAGGCACAGACUAGGAACCGUGAAGUGAAAAAUGCUCAAGUCAUGGUUAAGCUUAGCUCCAUCACUGAGGAAAACCUGACAGAAUCUCAAGAUUCCUAAGUAACUCCAGGACUAAAAAUGAUGCUAUUGCCUACACCAAGCUUAAAUAUGACACCCAGGACAAGGUGGUCAUCGGAAGUGGCAUGCGUUUUGUAUAGCCAUCCCAUGUAUAAAAUGAAGUGGAUACUAACUGAAUCAAUUUUAGAAUAAAGAUUUUUAAACAAGAUGAGUGUCCAGCCCAGUUGUCAUCAGGAGGCUUCACCUAGAAGAUGGAAAGAGAUGUCAAGAUCCACAGCCAAACAUUAGGAAAAAUUGGCCUGGUGUAUAGAAGAAGAAAUGGUGCAGGCGGAGGAAUCACCGACCUUCCGGCACAGCUCACAACAGCGCUCCAUACCACAGGAAGCACAGCAGUGUCCGCUUCAACAACAACAUGGCUCAGACCCUCUGCAUGCCCCAUGUGAAAGCUGCACUCCUGCAGCUCAGAAAGUGUCCAUACAUGCUGCAUACCUGCUCGCUAUCAUGAGCAUGAAACAACUGUGGGCAGUGGUAAAAUACUCAAUUCACAGAUAGAGCAAAGGACUCACUUAAGAUAUAGCAAGAAUCUUGAGCGAAAAGUGGAGGAACAAACAACUCAGUUGGUAACAGGCAAAGCAAGGCACAGACAUUUUUUUCAGGAGACAUAAUUUCACAUACACACAGCUCUGGUUUACUUAGACAUGGGUUUGAUCACUCUCUGGAAGCCAAGAAACCUAAGAGUGUAUCCUAUAGUUCUAAACAUUCUGGUAUCACUUUGAAUUGUUUUAUUUUGUUUUUAAAAAUAUUGCAUAGAUAGUAAACAUUUAUACUUUCAUUGUUUUAAUCACUUCUUUUUGUUUUUUGUCUCUUCUUGGGCAUAAGAAUAAACAUAUGUAAAGAUCCUU